AACGAACGCUGGCGGCAUGCCUAACACAUGCAAGUCGAACGAGACCUUCGGGUCUAGUGGCGCACGGGUGCGUAACGCGUGGGAACCUGCCUUUAGGUUCGGAAUAACUCAGAGAAAUUUGAGCUAAUACCGGAUGAUGUCUUCGGACCAAAGAUUUAUCGCCUUUAGAUGGGCCCGCGUUGGAUUAGCUAGUUGGUGGGGUAAAGGCCUACCAAGGCGACAAUCCAUAGCUGGUCUGGGAGGAUGAUCAGCCACACUGGGACUGAGACACGGCCCAGAAUCCUACGGGAGGGAGCAGUGGGGAAUAUUGGAAAAUGGGCGAAAGCCUGAUCCAGCAAUGACGCGUGAGUGAUGAAGGCCUUAGGGUUGUAAAGCUCUUUUACCCGAGAUGAUAAUGACAGUAGCGGGAGAAUAAGCUCCGGCUAACUACGUG
This 433-nucleotide ribosomal RNA is filed under the name uncultured bacterium. RNAcentral describes it as "partial 16S ribosomal RNA". It matches the Rfam family "Bacterial small subunit ribosomal RNA", at positions 29 to 507 of the family's 1533-position model. The record is from RNAcentral.